RNAcentral lists this long non-coding RNA (936 nucleotides) under Sinocyclocheilus grahami. RNAcentral's name for it is "lncRNA (ENSSGRG00000005372.1)". Lineage: Eukaryota; Metazoa; Chordata; Actinopteri; Cypriniformes; Cyprinidae. The record is from RNAcentral.
GGUUUCUUCACCUCAAUGAAUUCUCCACUUCUCGUGAGGCAGCUGAGGAGGAGGAAAUGUUAUCUGCUAAUCGCUGGAGUGCUGCUUCUUACUUUGCUUAUCAUCAUUAUUGCAGUCUCAGCCAGAAAAUGAGAUUGAGACCACAGAAAUUGCUGUUUCCACUCUGCUGUGAUCUCUCCUCAACUUCCCAGCAAAAUGAGAGUCUAUAUGUAGAGGUUCACCUCUCUUCUAAUCUAAUCUAUACUUCUGUCGGAUUGUGUGUUUUACUGUGUAUGCAUGUAUGGAAAUGUGUGUGUGUGUGUGUGUGUGUGUGUGUGUGUGACUGUUCGUUAAAAGAGUCUAUUUUUAAUCAGUGCUUUGUACUGUAAUGUGCAAUUAAUUGCUCCUUACCUCUUCAAAGUGGACUCGAAUCAAAAUCCAAAUAGACUAAAUGUUGCUGUAGGGCGUUUAUGCCAACGUUAAAAUAUCCUUUCCAUUUAUUGCUGAUUCUUGAGUACUGAGACAGAAUUGGCUGUGGUUUUGCUUGCCUGUAAUUAAAUUUGGAUUUUUAUUUUUUUUUAAGUUUAAUUAAGAUAGUUUCAAACUGAUUAUUUCUUAUAAUUUGUAUGACAGAGUUAGCAUAUCAAGGUUAUGAUGAAAAUAUAAAUACAAAUAUAACCACAAUAAAUUAAAUGGAACAUUUGUGUGAAGAUCAUUUGAUUAAUUUCCAAGUCGAUUUUCUGUGUUUUGUCCCAUGUCUCAAGAAUCAGUCUUAUGCUAGUUCUCAUAUCAGCUCAUAUUGAUCUUUUGCUGCUCACAAUACAUGUGUAUAUUUAUUUUUCUAGGGCGCAAAUAUAUAAAUUGUGUCAAAAGUGUAACAUUAUUUUUAGGAACAUUAUUUUUAGGAACAUUCUUUAUAAGGCAAUUAUUUGUUAUAAAGAAACAUAACUGGUACAU